Molecule: ribosomal RNA, 501 nt
Filed under: uncultured bacterium
Lineage: Bacteria
Description: bacterial SSU rRNA
Rfam family: Bacterial small subunit ribosomal RNA
Source: RNAcentral
UUCUGGCUCAGGAUGAACGCUGGCGGCGUGCUUAACACAUGCAAGUCGAACGGAGUUUUUAAGUGGAAGUUUCGGAUGGAAGUUUAAAAACUUAGUGGCGGACGGGUGAGUAACGCGUGGGUAACCUGCCUCAUACAGGGGGAUAACAGUUAGAAAUGACUGCUAAGACCGCAUAAUAUAGCGAAACCGCAUGAUUUUUGCUAUCAAAUAUUUAUAGGUAUGAGAUGGGCCCGCGUCUGAUCAGCUAGUUGGUGGGGUAAAAGCCUACCAAGGCGACGAUCAGUAGCCGGCUUGAGAGAGUGACCGGCCACAUUGGGACUGAGACACGGCCCAAACUCCUACGGGAGGCAGCAGUGGGGAAUAUUGGACAAUGGGGGAAACCCUGAUCCAGCCGACGCCGCGUGAGUGAAGAAGUAUUUCGGUAUGUAAAGCUCUAUCAGCAGGGAAGAUAAUGACAGUACCUGACUAAGAAGCCCCGGCUAACUACGUGCCAGCCGCCGC